ACCUUUAGAUCAUAGUAAUGAUUUUGCUUGUCAUUUUAGACUUAUAAACAAUAAAUAUCCAGAUGGGGGACCUGGCAACCCUGAAAGCCCAGCAUCAACUGGAUGAACAAACUGUGGAAGCAUUUGUGCAAGAAGUGAAAGAAUGGGCAGAUGGAGAAACUGACCACCAAGGCACACCAGAAGCUUUGUGUAAGAAGACUGAGGCGCUCACAACUAGCAUCAAGACGAGAACUCAACUCCUAUAUCGGAAAAAUGACAGCAACAAGGGUUGAAAUAGGAUUCGCAGAAAAAUAAGACAACAGAAGACCACUUUGAAGGCCAUGGUAGCAGAGUACAACAGUCUUGUUCCACCCAAGCAAGCGGUGUGCAUGGAUAGCAUUCUUGACACAGAACAUCCCUGGCCUUGGCAAAUUACAC
Long non-coding RNA from Mugil cephalus (flathead mullet), 417 nucleotides. RefSeq lists it as uncharacterized. Lineage: Eukaryota; Metazoa; Chordata; Actinopteri; Mugiliformes; Mugilidae. The transcript has 3 exons. The record is from RefSeq and is a predicted model, not a curated record.